This 491-nucleotide ribosomal RNA is filed under the name uncultured bacterium. RNAcentral describes it as "partial 16S ribosomal RNA". It matches the Rfam family "Bacterial small subunit ribosomal RNA", at positions 29 to 507 of the family's 1533-position model. The record is from RNAcentral.
GUGAACGCUGGCGGUAGGCCUAACACAUGCAAGUCGCACGGCAGCACAGUAAGAGCUUGCUCUUACGGGUGGCGAGUGGCGGACGGGUGAGGAAUACAUCGGAAUCUACUUUUUCGUGGGGGAUAACGUAGGGAAACUUACGCUAAUACCGCAUACGACCUACGGGUGAAAGCAGGGGAUCUUCGGACCUUGCGCGAUUGAAUGAGCCGAUGUCGGAUUAGCUAGUUGGCGGGGUAAAGGCCCACCAAGGCGACGAUCCGUAGCUGGUCGGAGAGGAUGAUCAGCCACACGGGAACUGGGACACGGUCCAGACUCCUACGGGAGGCAGCAGUGGGGAAUAUUGGACAAUGGGCGCAAGCCUGAUCCAGCCAUACCGCGUGGGUGAAGAAGGCCUUCGGGUUGUAAAGCCCUUUUGUUGGGAAAGAAAAGCAGCAGGUUAAUACCCCGCUGUUCUGACGGUACCCAAAGAAUAAGCACCGGCUAACUUCGUG